Molecule: unclassified non-coding RNA, 442 nt
Filed under: Hevea brasiliensis (rubber tree)
Lineage: Eukaryota; Viridiplantae; Streptophyta; Magnoliopsida; Malpighiales; Euphorbiaceae
Source: RNAcentral
CUUUUGUAUUCUUGUUUUAAAAUUUUUAUUUUUAAAGAAAAAUCAAAAAUAUUUUCCUUAUAGCCUUUUGAAUUUUUGUCUUAAAUUUUAUCAAAUUCGCUAGUAGAUUUCGAACACCGAAUUUCAAUUCACAUCCUCUCCACUACCUUUCCUUCACGUGAAAUCUCUUGCCUUGCCAUCAAUUGCUCUCAACAAAUCAUUUGUUUUCUAGCUUUCCUUGCCUAAGCUCAAUAGUGGUAGUUUUAAUAUAGAAAUACAAUAUUGUUUCUUUUGUCUUUUCCUUAAUACUUUUAGUAAUUUUCGUUAAUCUUAAUUAGUUUUAUUAAAAUACCCAAAAAUAUUUUCCUUUUCUUUUAACUUAAGUAAGUUUAUAUUUUUACUAUUUAAGAAAAUUUAAAAAGAAUUUUUCCUUAUCUUUUAGUUUCUUUAAGUUUGCGCCCAU